CCAAUAGCGUAUAUUAAAGUUGUUGCAGUUAAAAAGCUCGUAGUUGAAUUUCGGGAUCAAAGAAUCGGUCAUGCCUUGGUAUGUACUGGUUUUAUUGGUUCUCACCUUCUAAAGAACCAUAAUGUCAUUUAUUUGAUGUUAUGGGGAAUUAGGACUGUUACCUUGAAAAAAUUAGAGUGUUUAAAGCAAGCUUACGCUUGAAUACAUUAGCAUGGAAUAA
This 220-nucleotide ribosomal RNA is filed under the name uncultured Glomus. RNAcentral describes it as "partial small subunit ribosomal RNA". It matches the Rfam family "Eukaryotic small subunit ribosomal RNA", at positions 591 to 817 of the family's 1831-position model. The record is from RNAcentral. Lineage: Eukaryota; Fungi; Glomeromycota; Glomeromycetes; Glomerales; Glomeraceae.